This is a long non-coding RNA of Helianthus annuus (common sunflower), 1358 nucleotides long. RefSeq lists it as uncharacterized. The record is from RefSeq and is a predicted model, not a curated record. The transcript is spliced from 8 exons. Lineage: Eukaryota; Viridiplantae; Streptophyta; Magnoliopsida; Asterales; Asteraceae.
GCACCAAAUUCCUCUCUCUGCAUUUUCAAAAUUUGAAUUCCUGAAUGAAAAGAGAGGAGAGGAAGACAGAGAGAGAAUGAGAAAUAUAGAGAGAGAGGCGAUGGAGAAGGAGAGAUGACGGCAUGAGAAACCCUAAAUUACAAAAUCGUUCAGAUCUUGAAGGAUUUCCGAUACGAAACCUUUGUUAGGGGGCUACAAUCGAAUGGACAAAAGGUUGAGAGGCAUCGAUUUUGUCAUAAUCGAGAGAAGGAUGAACGGGCAGCGACGAACUGGGUUUCGACAGGAGUUUUAAGGGUAAGUUUUUAUUGAGUUUUCUUUUGCUUUUUGGCUCGAUUGAAGCCCUAAUUUGUUGUUAUUUUCUGCUUUGGUUUUGAUUUCAAUGAUGGAUGUUUGAUUUGAGGAUUUGGAAAGGCAUAGCAAGUGUUUGACGAAAUUGAGAUUAUCAUUUCAUUUAAAAGUUGCUGAUGCAAAAGAAGUUGCUUCCGUAAGUGCCAUUGCUAAUGAGAAGUUAAAAGCAGAGUAAGAAGCUACUGGUAAUAAAAAGAAAAUAGAUAACUUCAAGGGUUAAACGGGUGACGAUGACACAAUCACGAAGUAGACCUAGGUGAUCGGAAUAGUAUGGUUAUCUCCAGCUUGCCCUGCAACCAAGGUGCUUAUUUGACACUUCGUGAUAUUGCAUGGGGUAAGAUAACCCAAGUGAUUUGGACGUUGGAUGUGGAGUUGCAAGCUUUAGGGAAUAUCUUUUUGAGAUAGACGUGGUUGCAUUUCGUUUGCUCCAAAGGAUGAACAUGAAGCUAAAGGAAUUUGCACUAGAAAGAGGAUGACGGGCUACUGUAUACAACGUGUGGGAGUCCUAUCUAUGUUGCUCCUGGGAUUCUUUCCAACAGGGGAUAUGAUGGCGCAACAUCAGAUGCAAGAAAUCUUGCAGUUCUAUCAGAUUUUUAAAGGGAUGUACAGAUGCUGAAGUGGUCACCUUCAGGAGUGGGAGCUUAGGCUGUGCCUCCAGGUCAGCCCACACAGCUGGCAGCUUUCCGAAUCGGACUUCGACAUUAGCUUGUGUGUGCAUCUUCGAGGUCUUGUAUGUUCUCAACACACUCAUGCAGACAUUUCAAAAUAAAGUGCUUGCUCCUGCUGUCACAAGUUAGAUAAAAUGGUUUAACGAUGUAUUAUGGACCUAUCGUAACAUUUAUAUUUUCAUGGUCAUAUCAAUGGUCAAGAUCCAACUCUUGAUUCUCUUGUUAAGUUGACAAGCCUUUUGAUUAUUUAUGAUUUUACUGUCUUGUAGUUUACAUUUGUUUCAUGUAUUAAUCAAAUUGGCACUUUGUUUCAUGUAUUAAUCAAUGGUGAUGUUUGUGACA